RNAcentral lists this long non-coding RNA (450 nucleotides) under Elaeis guineensis (African oil palm). Its description in RNAcentral is "long non-coding RNA (EGUI_LNC044912)". The record is from RNAcentral. Lineage: Eukaryota; Viridiplantae; Streptophyta; Magnoliopsida; Arecales; Arecaceae.
UGGCAGUAAGAUAUAACAAAGAACCUAGCCUCUAUAAAGCUUUGAAUCAACAGACUUACCAUGUUCAUUCUUAUCUAAUUUACAGGAAGAGGUUAUAAGAAUACUUACACUUUUAGAACUCUCCAUCCCAAUUUUUUUUAAUAAUUCUCUUGUAUACUUAUUUUGGGUGAUGGAGAUCCCUUCAUUUGCUUGAUCUGGAGUUUGAGAAAGAAUGUGGGUUCUUCCAUCAUGCUCAUCUCGAACUCCCCCCGCAUAAACUUGGUAAAUUCUUUACACAAAACUUCAUUAGUAGAUCCAAAUAUAAUAUCAUCAACAUAUAUUUGUAUAACUAGUAUCUUUUCAUCUUUUUUUUUAUAAAAAAAUUUGUACUUAUUUUUUUUAAAAAAAUUUAUUUUUUAAUAAAAAAUUACUUAGUUUUUCAUACCAAGCCCUAGGAGCUUAUUUCAAACC